RNAcentral lists this ribosomal RNA (160 nucleotides) under Campylobacter lari. RNAcentral describes it as "partial 16S ribosomal RNA". It matches the Rfam family "Bacterial small subunit ribosomal RNA", at positions 1 to 154 of the family's 1533-position model. Lineage: Bacteria; Pseudomonadati; Campylobacterota; Epsilonproteobacteria; Campylobacterales; Campylobacteraceae. The record is from RNAcentral.
UUUUAUGGAGAGUUUGAUCCUGGCUCAGAGUGAACGCUGGCGGCGUGCCUAAUACAUGCAAGUCGAACGAUGAAGCGACUAGCUUGCUAGUUGUGGAUUAGUGGCGCACGGGUGAGUAAGGUAUAGUUAAUCUGCCCUACACAAGAGGACAACAGUUGGA